This 96-nucleotide transfer RNA is filed under the name Bradyrhizobium sp. CSA207. Its description in RNAcentral is "tRNA-Ser". Lineage: Bacteria; Pseudomonadati; Pseudomonadota; Alphaproteobacteria; Hyphomicrobiales; Nitrobacteraceae. The record is from RNAcentral.
GCGUCGUUCUUACGGUAACUGACCUCAACGAUUACGAUGCUUCGACCCAGACUACGAAUCUGAGGGUCGGACGUUCGAAUCGUUCCGGGCGCGCCA